CACCAGUCCCGGCACGCUUCCCCAUUGGCCAGGGCCCCCUCACGACAGCCUCCGCACCCCGCCCAUCUGCGCUCGCUAUUGGAUGGAGGCCCAGAGGGGCGGGAAGGGGCGGUGUCGAAGCGCCAACAGAUGGGGGCGGGGCCUUUCCCUCCGGGAGCCGGGCGUGGGCCGGGGGCCGCGGCCGGGUGCAGCGGCGGGCGUCGUGGGGGAGGGUUGGGGGCGCGGGCCGCGUGCAGCUGGGGGUGGGGGAGAGGGGGAGGGGCAGGGCAGGCGGUGUCCCCCAGCACGGCGGGGCCGCUCCUCCGGCCCUGCGGGUCGUCGCAGCACCCCUCACGCCUACCAGGGCCGGGCAGCAAACAGACUUUGAUCCUCCGAGCUGAGUCCACGUGGUGAGGCAGGAGGGAAGGGAGGCUGGGGAGACAAGUUGACCUAAGUAAAGCCAUUUUGGUAUUUAGGCUGACCCUUAACCUAAAAGUCAGCAGGUCAUAAAAAGUCACAAGAUCCCACUCAUGGAAGACCACAAGACCGGACUCCCUCUGGCAGUAAAAGUCAUAGAGGCUGGACAUUCUUAAAAUUGCUCCCUGUGGGUAAUUCCACAACCCUAAGACAACAGAGAAACUAACCGCUCGGUGUAAAUGAUAAACUUGAAGUUUAGGAGUAAGCCCCUCCCGUACGUUAGCUGAUUUUGAAAAACUUAUAAAACCUUUCUUUAGAGGCGGAGGGGGGGUCCUCUUCCUCACCUGGGAGGAGAGACGGCUGCUUUGUCCGGAGAGUAGCUCCCUUCUCACUUCUAUGCUUGAUACACCUUUGUCCCUUUCUCUAAAUGGCUUGCCCUCUAAUUUUUUCUCCGCAAAGCCAAGACCCCGCCUGGCGGGUGGCCUGAGACCCUCCGUCUGGGCUUCCACCGGCCUGCAUCCAGUAGAAGAGACCAGAGACCGCGCCCGCUGUGUGACAGACUGCAACCAGGGAGGGGCCGAGAGGGGGAGCCCGUGGCCCCUGAACAGGAGGAAGAACCCCCACUGUUUUGGACAAAACAAGACAAAGGCAAAGGUAGCCAGUGCCUCAGGAUCUAUACAUAAGGCUAGUUUGGAGCUAUGUUAUUUUGCAUUAAAAAAAUAUAUUUCUAUUUUCCCCCCAUUUGUAUGUGGUGUGUUUCUCAUUUCCCCAUCCACACUACAGAGCUGGAUCCUCAUCUAUUUCUGUUCUGCAGUAACAGAAAAGAAUGGAGAAAAGUUUCCAAGACAUUAUAAAGGGAGAAUUGAUAGGAUUUGA
This 1272-nucleotide long non-coding RNA is filed under the name Felis catus (domestic cat). RNAcentral's name for it is "lncRNA (ENSFCAG00000047373.1)". Lineage: Eukaryota; Metazoa; Chordata; Mammalia; Carnivora; Felidae. The record is from RNAcentral.